Molecule: non-coding RNA, 96 nt
Organism: Mycena galericulata
Lineage: Eukaryota; Fungi; Basidiomycota; Agaricomycetes; Agaricales; Mycenaceae
Source: the annotation of a GenBank genome assembly
GGCCUUGUGGUGUAAUGGGAACACACUAUGCUGAACUAACACCCAUCAUUGGGAAAGUGAUACAUAGAGACUUGCGUUCAAUUCGCAACUGGGCCA